This 526-nucleotide unclassified non-coding RNA is filed under the name uncultured Glomeromycotina. RNAcentral describes it as "SSU rRNA". It matches the Rfam family "Eukaryotic small subunit ribosomal RNA", at positions 571 to 1092 of the family's 1831-position model. The record is from RNAcentral. Lineage: Eukaryota; Fungi; Glomeromycota.
CAGCCGCGUAAUUCCAGCUCCAAUAGCGUAUAUUAAAGUUGUUGCAGUUAAAAAGCUCGUAGUUGAAUUUCGGGAUUGGCGCAUCGGUCGUGCCUUACGGGGUAUGAACUGGUGCAGUCAAUUUCUCACCUUCUGGAGAACCGCGAUGUCCUUAAUUGGGUGCCGCGGGGAACCAGGACCUUUACUUUGAAAAAAUUAGAGUGUUUAAAGCAGGCAUUUUUGCUUGAAUACAUUAGCAUGGAAUAAUAAAAUAGGACGGCAUGGUUCUAUUUUGUUGGUUUCUAGGACCACCGUAAUGAUUAAUAGGGAUAGUUGGGGGCAUUAGUAUUCAAUUGUCAGAGGUGAAAUUCUUGGAUUUAUUGAAGACUAACUACUGCGAAAGCAUUUGCCAAGGAUGUUUUCAUUAAUCAAGAACGAAAGUUAGGGGAUCGAAGACGAUCAGAUACCGUCGUAGUCUUAACCAUAAACUAUGCCGACUAGGAAUCAGACGAUGUUAAUUUUUUAAUGACUCGUUUGGCACCUUACG